RNAcentral lists this ribosomal RNA (318 nucleotides) under Triticum aestivum (bread wheat). RNAcentral describes it as "partial small subunit ribosomal RNA". Lineage: Eukaryota; Viridiplantae; Streptophyta; Magnoliopsida; Poales; Poaceae. The record is from RNAcentral.
AUGACCAAGACAACAUAUAUUAAACAAGCCAAUACAGAGACAAUCCUUUGCUUUUCUUGCUUAGUUUUACCUAAUUAUCAGCAGAUCAAUAAGCUAUAUAGAACCUCCAACCUGUUCACUCUGAAUCCUACUGAAGACCAUCCUAUGGAGAAACAAGAGUACUGGCCCUUCGAGCUACCUACAAGACCCCGAGGUGCACCCGGCCAUGGCAAGGCAGGAGAUGUCGAGAGGAAUUUUCCUCCUGGAUAUUGCAGACACUACGUGCCAUUGCCCAUUACAAAUCUGCCUAGGAGUACAUGGGAAAAUGUUUACAUUUAA